GGACGAAAAGGUCCGUGUUACACCACGGAUCCAUGACGGUACCCGCAGAAGAAGCACCGGCUAACUACGUGCCAGCAGCCGCGGUAAUACGUAGGGUGCGGGCGUUAAUCGGAAUUACUGGGCGUAAAGCGUGCGCAGGCGGUCUUUUAAGUCAGAUGUGAAAUCCCCGGGCUUAACCUGGGAACUGCGUUUGAAACUGGAAGGCUAGAGUGUGGCAGAGGGGGGUGGAAUUCCACGUGUAGCAGUGAAAUGCGUAGAGAUGUGGAGGAACACCGAUGGCGAAGGCAGCCCCCUGGGCUAACACUGACGCUCAUGCACGAAAGCGUGGGGAGCAAACAGGAUUAGAUACCCUGGUAGUCCACGCCCUAAACUAUGUCAACUGGUUGUCGGGGAAGCAAUUCCUUGGUAACGAAGCUAACGCGUGAAGUUGACCGCCUGGGGAGUACGGCCGCAAGGUUAAAACUCAAAGGAAUUGACGGGGACCCGCACAAGCGGUGGAUUAUGUGGAUUAAUUCGAUGCAACGCGAAAAACCUUACCUACCCUUGACAUGCCAGGAACCCUCCAGAGAUGGAGGGGUGCCCGAAAGGGAACUUGGACACAGGUGCUGCAUGGCUGUCGU
This 620-nucleotide ribosomal RNA is filed under the name uncultured bacterium. Its description in RNAcentral is "bacterial SSU rRNA". It matches the Rfam family "Bacterial small subunit ribosomal RNA", at positions 443 to 1055 of the family's 1533-position model. The record is from RNAcentral.